This is a transfer RNA of 72 nucleotides. It matches the Rfam family "tRNA". Rfam says of the family: Transfer RNA (tRNA) molecules are approximately 80 nucleotides in length. Their secondary structure includes four short double-helical elements and three loops (D, anti-codon, and T loops). Further hydrogen bonds mediate the characteristic L-shaped molecular structure. tRNAs have two regions of fundamental functional importance: the anti-codon, which is responsible for specific mRNA codon recognition, and the 3' end, to which the tRNAs corresponding amino acid is attached (by aminoacyl-tRNA synthetases). tRNAs cope with the degeneracy of the genetic code in two manners: having more than one tRNA (with a specific anti-codon) for a particular amino acid; and 'wobble' base-pairing, i.e. permitting non-standard base-pairing at the 3rd anti-codon position.
GGCCGCGUGGUCUAGUGGUAUGAUUCCCGCUUCGGGUGCGGGAGGUCACGGGUUCAAUUCCGUGGGGGACCA